RNAcentral lists this ribosomal RNA (700 nucleotides) under uncultured bacterium. Its description in RNAcentral is "bacterial SSU rRNA". It matches the Rfam family "Bacterial small subunit ribosomal RNA", at positions 94 to 828 of the family's 1533-position model. The record is from RNAcentral.
AGUGGCGGACGGGUGAGUAACGCGUAAGAAUCUAACUUCAGGACGGGGACAACAGUGGGAAACGACUGCUAAUACCCGAUGUGCCGCGAGGUGAAACCUAAUUGGCCUGAAGAAGAGCUUGCGUCUGAUUAGCUAGUUGGUGGGGUAAGAGCCUACCAAGGCGACGAUCAGUAGCUGGUCUGAGAGGAUGAGCAGCCACACUGGGACUGAGACACGGCCCAGACUCCUACGGGAGGCAGCAGUGGGGAAUUUUCCGCAAUGGGCGAAAGCCUGACGGAGCAACGCCGCGUGAGGGAGGAAGGUCUUUGGAUUGUAAACCUCUUUUCUCAAGGAAGAAGUUCUGACGGUACUUGAGGAAUCAGCCUCGGCUAACUCCGUGCCAGCAGCCGCGGUAAUACGGGGGAGGCAAGCGUUAUCCGGAAUUAUUGGGCGUAAAGCGUCCGCAGGUGGUCAGCCAAGUCUGCCGUCAAAUCAGGUCGCUUAACGACCUAAAGGCGGUGGAAACUGGCAGACUAGAGAGCAGUAGGGGCAGCAGGAAUUCCCAGUGUAGCGGUGAAAUGCGUAGAGAUUGGGAAGAACAUCGGUGGCGAAAGCGUGCUACUGGGCUGUAUCUGACACUCAGGGACGAAAGCUAGGGGAGCGAAAGGGAUUAGAUACCCCUGUAGUCCUAGCCGUAAACGAUGGAUACUAGGCGUGGCUU